This is a long non-coding RNA of Schistocerca serialis cubense, 1665 nucleotides long. RefSeq lists it as uncharacterized. NCBI's taxonomy places the organism in Eukaryota, Metazoa, Arthropoda, Insecta, Orthoptera, Acrididae. The record is from RefSeq and is a predicted model, not a curated record. The transcript has 3 exons.
AGUGCACUCAUUAUCAGUUGUUGGAUGAAUAAAGCCUGGGAAAUUGCGUGCCAUCAGUUACACUGCCUCAAGAAAAGCACACUAUGUUCUGGUCCAUUUUGUUAGUGUGGGUUGCCUACAUCAGAGGCAGAUGAUGGACCAGAUGUAUAGGACUGCAGAUGAGAUGGUGUGAUAUCUCAGGACCCACCAUCAGAAGUUAGAAACAUCCAGGAAGGUUUUUCGGAAGUAAUGGACAGAAUGUGUAGAGACUGUUCAGGACAUUGUUCCAAGAGAUUGCAAAGACGUCCACAUAUUCUGAUUACAUGAAAAAAUAGGCACGACUAUACUGGAAAAGUAAAAAAUGCAAGAGAACACUGUACUACUCUUGUGUGUGAAUGAGAUUUAAAAAAUGCCCAGAGAAAGCUUAUCGUUAUCGUUACCGCCAGUCUGAAGACUUUUUUGAUGCAGCUCUUCAUGCUAGUCAGAUCUAUCAGGAAUGAGUAUACAUUGCAAAUGGAGGUAAAUAAUCUUUCAUCAAAACGUUGCACGUACUCACAGAUGUUUUAGCUAUGGAAAACUGAGAAAUUUUAAAUAAUAAUUUUUAGAAUAUCUGCUUUAUUUACAGACGUCCACAUUUUUCCAUAACUAAGAGAAUUUGUGAAUAGAAAACAUUUUGAGCUGUGAUAGCCAGUCUUGAGCCACACUUUGGGGAUCAAAUAUAAUAAAUGGAAAAAUAUUUGUUAAGUGCAUUAACCCGUGUGAGGAUCACAUCUGAACAACAUAACUGCAUUUCCUUAGUUAAGAAACACCAAAAACGGUUUUAAAUAUUACGUAAUAUGUUUGAGUACUGGUAUACAGUAAAGUUUGUGGUGAAGAGAAGCUGCAUUCAAAUAUUUUUCAUAAACAUUGCACAAAAGACUUUUUGACCAAGAACUGUGAAAAAAACCAAAUUCCUGCACUGUGCAAGACCAUGAGCCACCAAACUGUUUAUGUAAUCUUAGGAACACAAGGCUGAUUUAGAGUUGUGUUUACCCUAGCAAGAUAAAUUUAACCUGCAGUAAUUUUUACAACAGUAACACUCCAUGGAAAUUUUUGUAACCAGUUCUAACUGGUAUCUGAAUGAUUUAAAAGCUCACUCUUAAGAAACAAUGUUUUGAAAUUAAAGCUUGUUUGUCUAACCUGGGAACUGCAUCAUGAGAUAACCCCAUUCAUGUUAGAGUAGCAAGAUUACAACCUCUGACUGAAAAUGUGUUUAGAAAAUUUUAUUGAGUUAGUCAUCUGCUGUUUUUCCAAGUCACAAGUUUGUUUUACUCUUGGAUGAUAGUCCAUUUCUUACAAAUCUUUUUCACAUUUAUUUCAUUUCUUAAUUUGGAUUUAACACACUCUCAGUAACAUGAGAAUAAGAGAUGUGCAGAGAUGAAGAGAAGAAUUACCUGUGAAUAUUUCUGCAAAUCUAUAUCAGCAUAUGCAUGGAAACAUCCAAGAAACCAUAAAUUACCAAGCAUUUAGAUUAAAACUUGAAUCUAGUGUCUUCCAAAGAUGACACUCCUUUGCAGUAAAAUCUGACCCUCCUAAGCAAUAAAUAGUAAAUGUUGCCACAUAUGUGCCAAGUAUCUACAAAGUGUUAAGUCACAUUUGUAACACAUAGUUAAACUUAUUUCUUUAUUUUCUCUGUUUCAUAAAUCC